CUCUGUGUAUUGAAAAAUGAACCGUCUAAAACAAAUAUCUCGAUCCUUCUGACCCUAUAUUAACAUGGGUCAGGAUUUACAAUUGGGCCAAUUCUAACCCGAAUAGGAACAAGCCCAAUACUAAAUACAGAAGCUAGCCCAAAUCUAUUAUACAUACAAUAUAUAGCAAUGUACAAUAGAUAUACACUGAAUAUACAACAGUUUAUGAAUAUUUGUGUUUGGGCUUGGAGGCCAAAUAAUCCUUCAGCUCAACACUCCCCCUCAAGUUGGAGGGGGAGACCACCUUCAACUUGGACAAAAGAUAAUGGUGAGCAGAGCCAGGCAGGGGCUUGGUGAGUACAUCAGCGAGCUUGUGUGAAGUUGACACAUGAGAAAGGGAAAUCAAGCCAUCUGCAAGUUUGGUACGAACAAAAUGACAGUCGACUUCAAUGUGCUUGGUCCGCUCAUGAAACACCGGAUUCUUAGCAAUAUGGAUGGCUGCCUGAUUGUCACAGUAAACAGACAAAGGAAAAGCAACAGAGAUACCAAUAUCAGUGAGUAAACGAGAUAACCAAGAUAACUCAGUAACCACCUUUCUGAGGGCCCUGUAUUCUGUCUCAGCAGAGGACAGGGAGACCACUGGCUGCUUCUUAGACUUCCAACUGACUAAACUGUCACCCAAUUGCAAACAAAAGCCUGUGACAGAUCUGCGAGUGUCAGGGCAAGCAGCCCAGUCACUGUCUGAAAAGGCAGUCACAGUAAAAUUUGGAUUGUCAGAAUAGAACAGCCCCAAAUCCAUAGAACCCAUAAGAUACCUUAGAACAUGCAGAGCAGCAGACGAAUAGAAUAUCCCCAAAUCCAUAGAACCCUUAAGAUACCUUAGAACAUGCAGAGCAGCAGACAUGUGAGGGAUGCUGGGAGCUUUCAAAAACUGACUUAAAUGUUGCACAACAAAACAUAUGUCAAGUCGAAUAUUAGUCCAGAAAGGAGUUUGCCAAUCAAGCUCCUAUAAUGGUCAGGAGAAGGAAAAAGAUCACCAGAGUCAGCAUGCAAUUUAGUAUUGAGGUCCAAAGGACAGACAACAGGAGAGACAGCCAUACAAUCAAACUGAUGCAGCAAAUCAGAAAUAAGCUUGUGCUGAUUAAGAAGAACACCACCAGUAAUGGAGGACACCUCAAUACCCAGAAAAUAGUGCAAAGAACCAAGGUCUUUGAUUCUGAAUUGAUCAUUCAGGAAAGCCUUGAGGGCAGAAAUUUCAGCAACAUCAUCCCCAGUGAUAAUAAUAUCAUCUACAUAGACAGCCAGUCCUUGAGGGCAGAAAUUUCAGCAACAUCUUCCCCAGUGAUAAUAAUAUCAUCUACAUACACAGCCAGGACCACAAGACAUCCAUGUUGACCCUUGACAAAUAAGGAAUAAUCAUUCAUAGAAUGAACAUAACCUUUGGAAUAGAGUGCCUGAGAUAGCUUGGCAUACCAUUGCCUGGAAGCUUGUCUCAGGCCAUAAAGUGACUUCUGUCUGGAAUUGAGGGCAUUAGAUAGCUUGGCAUACCAUUGCCUGGAAGCUUGUCUCAGGCCAUAAAGGGACUUCUGUAAUUUGCAUACAAGAGGGGCAGAGGAAGAAGAACAAGAAGGGACAGAAACACAUAAACCUGGGGGAAGCUUCAUAUAGACCUCCUCAUCAAGAUCACCAUGCAAGAAAGUAUUAUUGACAUCAAGUUGGAAAAGAUCCCAAUGUUUCUUAACAGCCACAGCAAUCAGACACUUAACAGUAGAUAUCUUGACCACAGGAGAGAAUGUUUCAGUGAAGUCAAUGCCUUCAAUUUGAGUAUCACCCAUAAUUACAAGCCUAGCUUUGUAUCUUUCAAUAGUGCCAUCAGCUUUAUAUUUAAUCUUAUAAACCCACUUGCAUCCUAUGGGCUUUUGCUAGAAGGAAGUGGAACAAUGUCCCAAGUAUGGUUGGCAUCCAAAGCCUCAAACUCCUUGCUCAUGGCAUCCUGCCAAGCUGGGACUGAUGCUGCUUGAGAAUAAAAGAGGGGUUCAGAUUCCAAAGGAGAAGAAGAGGAGGAAGAACCAGAAAAGGAAGGCAAGUGACACAUACAAUCAUUGAGAUAAGAGGGAGGAUUAUGUGGUCUGCCAGAUCUUCUGUGUCCAGUAGGGACAACAGAGGAAGGGACAGCUGAGGAAGAGGGAGUGAAAUGAGGAGGAUUAACAACAGAUAGAGGAACAGAAGGAGAGGAAAGGGAGGAUGGGAGUGAUGAAGAGACAGGACUGGAGUCAGAAGGGGAAGAAACAAGAGGGGAAGAACAAAGGGAAGCAGGCAAAGCAAAAUCAGAAUAAGGAAUAUCAGAGGAAGGAACAUGAGGAGGAGGAAAAGUAGUCCAAGCUGGAACAGAGGCAGUUUGAGAAUAAAAGAGGGGUUCAGACUCCAACGGAGAAGAAGAGGAAGUGGAACCAGAAAAGGAAGGCAAGUGACAAACAUAGUCAUUGAGAUAAGAUGGAGGAUUAUGUGGUCUGCCAGAUCUUCUGUGUCCAAUAGGAACAAUAGAAGAAGAAGUAGGGAAAGAAGGAGGAGGAACAGCAGGAAGAGGAAUAGAAGGAGAGGAAAGAGAGGAAGAGAGUGAAGGAGAAGCUGGGCUGGAAGUAGAAGGGGAAGAAACAGGAGGAGAAGGACAAGGGAAAGUAGGCAGGACAAAAUCAGAACAUGGAAUAUCAGAGGAAAGAACAGGAGGAGGAGGAAAAACAAAAGCAGGAGGAGGGACAUAAGAGGCAGAUUGAAAAGGAAAACAGGUUUCAUGAAAGACAACAUUACACAAAAUACUUCUUAGUAGUUAGGUCAUACAGCCUGUAGCCCUUUUUGGCAAAGGGAUAUCCCAGAAAAACACAAGUUAAAGCUCUAGGUUGAAGUUUAUCUCUUUGUGGAAUGGGUACAGUGGCAUAGGCAAGACAACCAAAAGCCCUUAAAUGAGAAUAAGUAGGGGCUUGGCCAUGCAAUACUUCAUAAGGAGACUUAUUGUGAAGAAGUCUGGAGGGAAUCCUAUUAAGCAAGUAGGUGGCAGUCAAUAGGCAGUCCCCCUAAAAAUGAAUAGGUAAAUUGGAUUGAAAAAGUAAAGCUCUACUUGCUUCAAGAAGGGUUCUAUGUUUUCUUUCCACGAUACCAUUUUGUUGAGGAGUAUGAGAACAAGUAGUUUGAUAAAUGAUGCCUUGUUGAUUAAAGAAAGAGACACCAGCAAGACUAGAACCUAAUUCAAAAGCAUUAUCACUUCUGACAGUUUGUACAGUGGCAUUAAAUUGUGUUUUGACCAUACAUAUAAAGGACUUGAUAAGGCUGAAAGCAUUACUUUUAGACCCCAGUAAAUGUGUCCAGGUUGCUCUAGAGAAAUCAUCAACUAUAGUAAGAAAAUAUUUACAACCAGAAGAAGUAGGGGUAUGAUAAGGGCCCCAAGUAUCCACAUGAAUAAGCUGGAAUGGCCUACAAGUACUGAUGGAACUGUCAGGAAAAGGUAAUCUAGUUUGCCUAGCCAUGGGACAAACAGAACAGGGAAAAGGUUGUUUAGAAGCAAAAGGGAAAGAUAAAGCAAAAAUAUGUUUCAUGUGUGCAAAAGGAAUGUGAGCCAGUCUUAAAUGCCAAAUGUAGUUCAUGUCAUUAUCAUCAAAUUUAUUAUGACAAGUAGAACUGUUUACAUUGGAAGAUAAAGCAACAAGAUUUAGAUCAGAAGAAACAAUCAAGAUUACAAGAAUCUUUAUUAGAGCAUACAGAAUUGAAAGAAGAGCAAUUAACAGAAGAAGAUGAAGGGGGCACCCAAGCAAAUUUGUACAUACCAGCCUCCUCUUUACCAAGAUCCAGAGGCAUCUUCAGAGAAGGGGCCUGUAAAAUGUGAAGGAAACAAGAAGUUGCAGUAAAUAGAACAAUACAGUGCAACUAUUUCACCAACUUGUGGACAGAAAUCAAAUUGUGUUUGAAAGAAGGAACAAACAGUACAUUAUGAAGAGUAAUGGAAGGAGUUAAAGCAAAAAGUUACUUUUAUUUUGUACCCAUUAGGAAGGGUAACAAGAUAAGGUACAAGUAAAGCGUGUGAAGAAAACCCUAGCUUCGUUGUCAGGAAACCCUAGCUUGCAGAAAAAACCCGGUGGAAUCAGGCACAAGAGGUGUCGGAAAAUCACCCUAACACCUCGUUGGAAGAAUCGUCAACAAAUGUCAUAUGGUCAGAAGCUCCAGAAUCUAUUAUCCAGGAAACAAAAGCAAUAUGAGUAGGCAAGCAGAGUUUGGAAUUAGAAACAGGACUCUUAGUAAGAAUAGUACCAGCAAAGUUGGCAGCACAUAUAGUAGGGGAUGGCUGAGUAGGAGAGGUCUGAGCAGUGGAUUCACCCAAAUUGGACUGUUGGAGCAGAUUCAUCAACUGAUCAUAAUGGUGUCUGCUCAACCCAUGAAUAGCAGAAUUAUGUCCAUCCACAUGCUGGACAGACCCUCAGUACGAAUUCCAGAUGCAGGAGAAUUAUGGCCAGCAGAAUAAGGAGAGGAUGUGAAGUCAACAACAAUACUGACAUGAGCAGCAGUGGGUCUCUUGCCUUUGUUAAAACCUGAUGCUUUGAGGAAAACCAUGAAGUUUGUAGCACUUAUCAAUUAAGUGUCCAGACUUCUUGCAAUAUCUACAUAAGAGGGGUCCUCUGGACUGAUCAAAAGUGACUUUCUGGGCAUACUGUCUGGGAGGAGGAGAGUUGAGCAAGGGAGCUGGACUGAAGGAAGGUGUGGAAGGUUUAUGUGUAUUAACAUUGAAGGACAUAGAAUCAGGAUUGAACUGGGAGACAGACUGAACUUGUCUCUGUUUUUCAUCAUUAAGGAGAAUGUUAUAGACGAGGGGUCCUCUGGACUGAUCAAAACUAACUCUUUGGGCAUACUGUCUGGGAGGAGGAGAGUUGAGCAAGGGAGAUGGACUGAAGGAAGGUGUGGUGGAAGGUUUAUGUGUAUUAACAUUGAAGGACAUAGAAUCAGGAUUGAACUGGGAGACAGACUGAACUUGUCUCUGUUUUUCAUCAUUAAGGAGAAUGUUAUAGACACUGUCAAGACUAGGAGGAGGUUGCAUCAUUAACAAGUUGCUCCUUACCCCCAUAUAUGUCUCAUUAAGACCCAUGAGGAAUUGAAAC
RNAcentral lists this long non-coding RNA (5120 nucleotides) under Nicotiana benthamiana. RNAcentral describes it as "long non-coding RNA (NBEN_LNC032342)". The record is from RNAcentral. Lineage: Eukaryota; Viridiplantae; Streptophyta; Magnoliopsida; Solanales; Solanaceae.